UUAGCCAAACUAGGGAGGGGUGGGUUAGUUUCUUCCAAAUUGAGGAGUAAUUCCUUAUACAAGAACAAGAUCAUUUCUUUUCUCUCAAUUAUCGCUCUCCUCAUUUCACUCCCUUUUGUAAAGAAAUUCGCUCAUGAUUUUUCUUUUCUCUCAAAAGACUCUCUUUCUUUUCUCUCUUGCAGCUCAUCUCUCUUUUUCUCUCUAGUAGCCACCUCACCAUUUUAUAUGUUACUCCCUACUUCACUGUUUUCUCUCCUCUUCUCUAACUCUUUUACUCUUCUUUCUUCCUCGUUCUUCAACUUGAUUUGGUUCUCAUAUACUUGUGCCGGUGUUAAUGGCACAAAGGUAAUGAUCCUCUCGUCUUUGACGAAACUAUAACGAUUUUUGUACCCAUCAUGCAUUGCUUUCCUAUCAUAUUGCCAAGGUCUCCCCAACAAAAUAUGUCCCGCUUGCAUUGAUAUUACAUCACACACUACCUCAUCCCGAUAACUUCCAAUAGAGAUAUUAAUUUACACCCUGCGAUUAACCCUAACUUCUCCACAUUCGUUUAACCAUUGCAAUUUAUAUAGCCUAGGGUGCAUCAACCGUGCUAAAUUUAAUUUCUCUACAAGUGCUACGCUAGCAACAUUUGUGCAACUACCACCAUCGAUAAUUACACUAUAUACCGUAUCGUUGACAUGGCAUCGAGUAUGGAAGAUGUUCUCCCAUUGUAG
RNAcentral lists this long non-coding RNA (713 nucleotides) under Olea europaea subsp. europaea. Lineage: Eukaryota; Viridiplantae; Streptophyta; Magnoliopsida; Lamiales; Oleaceae. The record is from RNAcentral.